RNAcentral lists this transfer RNA (77 nucleotides) under Merismopedia sp. SIO2A8. RNAcentral's name for it is "tRNA-His". It matches the Rfam family "tRNA". From Rfam's summary of the family: Transfer RNA (tRNA) molecules are approximately 80 nucleotides in length. Their secondary structure includes four short double-helical elements and three loops (D, anti-codon, and T loops). The record is from RNAcentral. Lineage: Bacteria; Bacillati; Cyanobacteriota; Cyanophyceae; Synechococcales; Merismopediaceae.
GUGGCGGAAACCGAAGAGGUCGAGGUGCUGGUCUGUGAAACCAGUGUUAGCGAGUUCGAGUCUCGUCCGUCACUCCA